AUGCACCAGAUCAAGUUCCCGCCGUCGCCGUCACCACUUCUGGCUUGGAUCGCUACCCGCCACGUGUCGGCGGCGGUGAGGCUGCAGGCUGCUGCGCGCGGCCUCCUAGCGCGUCGGCGUGUGCGGGAGAUGCAUGGUCUGCAGCUGCCGCUCCUCCCAGUUGUCCUUCGCUGCGCAAAGGACCUCGAUCUCGUCCCCACAGACAGCGACCUCAAAGUCUGCGACAUCGACGGUUGGGGGGGCGCACCCCUCCUCGUCAUUCUCCAUCGCAAGCCCUCCACUCUUUUCUGUGCGGUGCAGACCAACAGCCGUCCGGCGGGGAGAAGGCAGGGUGUCACCGACAGGAGUGCACCGCGUAGCACCACUGCAUUCCGCCGGCCGCCGCAAGGGCGCCUCUGCUGGUCGCUCUUGCGACCACUUCCAGGUGGCCAUACCCAUGCACUCCUUUUGUCCAGAUGGUGUCCAUGGGAUCCAGGUGGCUGUACACGUGCACGUCCGACGUGCGGAUGGUGUCCACUUUUUGUUAAGGGGUCCAAAAUAAAGCAUCCCAGUCCAUUUCAGGUUGAGAGUAAUAAAACAAGCCGAGAUGUAAAAGGCUUGUUUUUAGGUGUUAGGUUUGUGUUGCGUCGAGUCAUGGUUAUAAGUUGGUUAGGCUGCAGCUCGAGGACAAGCUGCAUGUCCAGGUGGGGUGUAGUGUUAGAGUACGUAAUGGGCCUAAUGGGCCUGAGCUGGCGGUAUAGCCCAUUAGUCUUAGGGUUAAUUAGAGAUAAGGGUCGCUUGUUUGGGAGUUAA
This 792-nucleotide ribosomal RNA is filed under the name Triticum aestivum (bread wheat). RNAcentral's name for it is "partial small subunit ribosomal RNA". The record is from RNAcentral. Lineage: Eukaryota; Viridiplantae; Streptophyta; Magnoliopsida; Poales; Poaceae.